UUCCUGGUGGCUCAGACGGUAAAGCGUCUGUUUGCAAUGCAGGAGACCCAGGUUCGAUCCCUGGUUUGGGAA
This 72-nucleotide transfer RNA is filed under the name Bos taurus (domestic cattle). It matches the Rfam family "tRNA". Rfam says of the family: Transfer RNA (tRNA) molecules are approximately 80 nucleotides in length. Their secondary structure includes four short double-helical elements and three loops (D, anti-codon, and T loops). RNAcentral also lists the same sequence under 2 other names. Lineage: Eukaryota; Metazoa; Chordata; Mammalia; Artiodactyla; Bovidae. The record is from Rfam by way of RNAcentral.